RNAcentral lists this ribosomal RNA (253 nucleotides) under uncultured bacterium. RNAcentral describes it as "partial 16S ribosomal RNA". It matches the Rfam family "Bacterial small subunit ribosomal RNA", at positions 524 to 776 of the family's 1533-position model. The record is from RNAcentral.
UACGUAGGGUGCAAGCGUUAAUCGGAAUUACUGAGCGUAAAACGUGCGCAGGCGGUUUUGCAAGACAGGUGUGAAAUCCCCGGGCUUAACCUGGGAACUGCACUUGUGACUGCAAGGCUGGAGUACGGUAGAGGGGGAUGGAAUUCCGCGUGUAGCAGUGAAAUGCGUAGAUAUGCGGAGGAACACCGAUGGCGAAGGCAAUCCCCUGGACCUGCACUGACGCUCAUGCACGAAAGCAUGGGGAGCAAACAGG